RNAcentral lists this ribosomal RNA (846 nucleotides) under uncultured bacterium. RNAcentral's name for it is "bacterial SSU rRNA". It matches the Rfam family "Bacterial small subunit ribosomal RNA", at positions 58 to 917 of the family's 1533-position model. The record is from RNAcentral.
CAAGUCGAACGGUGUCUUCGGACAUAGUGGCGCACGGGUGCGUAACACGUAUGCAACCUACCUUACAUUGGGGGAUAGCCUUUCGAAAGGGAGAUUAAUACCGCAUAAGACAGUAGCUGGGCAUCCAGCAGCUGUUAAAGAUUUAUCGAUGUAAGCUGGGCAUGCGUCCAAUUAGCUAGUUGGUGAGGUAACGGCUCACCAAGGCUAUGAUUGGUAGGGGAACUGAGAGGUCAAUCCCCCACACUGGCACUGAGAUACGGGCCAGACUCCUACGGGAGGCAGCAGUAGGGAAUAUUGGGCAAUGGACGCAAGUCUGACCCAGCCAUGCCGCGUGCAGGAUGAAGGCGUUAUGCGUUGUAAACUGCUUUUAUACAGGAAGAAACGACUCUUGCGAGAGGCAUUGACGGUACUGUAUGAAUAAGCACCGGCUAACUCCGUGCCAGCAGCCGCGGUAAUACGGAGGGUGCAAGCGUUGUCCGGAUUUAUUGGGUUUAAAGGGUGCGCAGGUGGUUUAUUAAGUCAGUGGUGAAAGACGGUCGCUCAACGAUUGCAGUGCCAUUGAAACUGGUAGACUUGAGUAAAGUAGAGGUGGGCGGAAUUGAUAGUGUAGCGGUGAAAUGCAUAGAUAUUAUCAAGAACUCCAAUUGCGUAGGCAGCUCACUUGGCUUUUACUGACACUCAUGCACGAAAGUGUGGGUAUCAAACAGGAUUAGAUACCCUGGUAGUCCACACUGUAAACGAUGAUAACUAGGUGUCGGCCGAAUCUGGUCGGUGCCACAGCGAAAGCGUUAAGUUAUCCACCUGGGGAGUACGCCGGCAACGGUGAAACUCAAAGGAAUUGACGGG